RNAcentral lists this ribosomal RNA (378 nucleotides) under uncultured eukaryote. RNAcentral describes it as "partial 18S ribosomal RNA". It matches the Rfam family "Eukaryotic small subunit ribosomal RNA", at positions 592 to 976 of the family's 1831-position model. The record is from RNAcentral.
CAAUAGCGUAUAUUAAAGUUGUUGCAGUUAAAAAGCUCGUAGUUGCAUUUCCGAGGCAAGGGAUUAGUCCGACCUUUGGUGGGUAUUUAAUCCUCUUGCCUCGUCCUUGAGUGGUGCUUCUUGGUAUUAAGUUAUCGAGGAGAUAGCCGCUCAUCGUUUACUGUGAGAAAAUUAGAGUGUUCAAAGCAGGCUUGCCGUUGAAUAUAUUAGCAUGGAAUAAUAAGAUAGGACCUCGGUACUAUUUUGUUGGUUUGAGAACCAAGGUAAUGAUGAAUAGGGACAGUUGGGGGUAUUCGUAUUCAGUUGUCAGAGGUGAAAUUCUUAGAUUUACGGAAGACGAACUACUGCGAAAGCAUUUACCAAGGAUGUUUNCAUUAA